Molecule: long non-coding RNA, 274 nt
Filed under: Trifolium pratense (red clover)
Lineage: Eukaryota; Viridiplantae; Streptophyta; Magnoliopsida; Fabales; Fabaceae
Description: long non-coding RNA (TPRA_LNC003809)
Source: RNAcentral
GAAAGAUUUCAUCGGUUUCUUGUCUGCAUCUUUCUUUCGAUCAUCAUAAUUGUCCACCCAAUCCUCCUCCUCCAUUAUUGUAGGUAACGAAGGCUUCCAAUUGGAUUUGCGGUGGAUUUGAGGCUUUGAUUCAACUUUGAAACGAAGUUGAGCGGAAGAAGAAAUGUUAUUAGUUGUUGUUGUUGUCACUUUACGAGAACGACGGCGGGAGAAGCACUUCAUACUGUAGGGAGUGAUUCUCUUCAAGAGAUUUUUUGUUGUUGCGAGGAUUGUG